Molecule: long non-coding RNA, 202 nt
Organism: Perca fluviatilis (European perch)
Lineage: Eukaryota; Metazoa; Chordata; Actinopteri; Perciformes; Percidae
Exons: 2
Source: RefSeq, a predicted model, not a curated record
AUAAAGCAUUUUGUGGGAUGUCAUCUCAUAAUUUCUUUUCAUUCAUCCCCUGUGCAGCUCUUCUUUCAUUUACAUCACAGAACAACAAUGGCAGCAGCAGCUUUGUCCAGAAGCAGAGCAGCGGCUGGAGGCCUGUACUUCCUCCUCACUCUGCUGGGUCUGGUUUGCAUCACAAGUUCACUGAUAGACAACAAAAAAAUGG